CAAACCCUGCCCUGGAGGGUCCUACAGAGCAAUGCCACCAGUGCCAGAUCCCGGUGGCUGUGAUCGGUCAUUCCAGCUUUGUGCUGGCUGCAGGUGGAUGAUGCCCAGCUGGCUGCCGAUGACUUCUGCACCAAGUGAGGCUGGGUCUCUGGAGCUGCCCCAGGGACUGGACAAGCUGACCCUGGCCGGAGCCAACCUGGAGAUGCAGAUUGAGAACCUCAAGGAGGACCUGGUCUACCUGAAGAAGAACCAUGAGGAGGUGAGGUCAGCUCAGGGAACGCAGCAGAAAUUCACCUGGAAGCAAGCGAGGCUGGGGCCCAGAACCUCCCUGGGCCGGGCCAUGUUUUCAGUCCAGUUCCCAUCUCUUAUGGAUGCCCAGCCCUGACCCUCAGAGGACCCUGAGUGAGGCCUGGAGGAGCCUCUCUUCCCAAAUAGACUUCAUUUGUCCCUUGAGGCUCAGCUCACUGAAGUUAACUAACUAAUGAGUAAGUCAGUGUAAGAACA
RNAcentral lists this long non-coding RNA (504 nucleotides) under Macaca nemestrina (pig-tailed macaque). Its description in RNAcentral is "lncRNA (ENSMNEG00000045995.1)". Lineage: Eukaryota; Metazoa; Chordata; Mammalia; Primates; Cercopithecidae. The record is from RNAcentral.